CACGUAGGGGGCAAGCGUUUGUCCGGAUUUAUUGGGCGUAAAGAGCGUGUAGGCGGCCUGACAGGUCUGCUGUGAAAACUCGAGGCUCAACCUCGAGAUGUCGGCGGAAACCGUCUGGCUAGAGUCCGGAAGAGGAGAGUGGAAUUCCUGGUGUAGCGGUGAAAUGCGCAGAUAUCAGGAAGAACACCUAUGGCGAAGGCAGCUCUCUGGGACGGUACUGACGCUGAGACGCGAAAGCGUGGGGAGCGAACAGG
RNAcentral lists this ribosomal RNA (254 nucleotides) under uncultured bacterium. RNAcentral's name for it is "partial 16S ribosomal RNA". It matches the Rfam family "Bacterial small subunit ribosomal RNA", at positions 524 to 776 of the family's 1533-position model. The record is from RNAcentral.